GUUGCGGUGGCCGAGUUCAUAAGGCGUUGGACUCGAAAUCCGAUGGGAUCUUCCCGCGCAGGUUCGAAUCCUGCCCGCAACG
Molecule: non-coding RNA, 82 nt
Organism: Nematostella vectensis (starlet sea anemone)
Lineage: Eukaryota; Metazoa; Cnidaria; Anthozoa; Actiniaria; Edwardsiidae
Source: Rfam